Pangasianodon gigas (Mekong giant catfish) is the source of this 72-nucleotide non-coding RNA. The record is from the annotation of a GenBank genome assembly. NCBI's taxonomy places the organism in Eukaryota, Metazoa, Chordata, Actinopteri, Siluriformes, Pangasiidae.
UCCCUGGUGGACUAGUGGUUAGGCCCCAGUACUCUCACUGCUGUGGCCCAGGUUCAAUUCCUGAUCAGGGAA